Molecule: long non-coding RNA, 503 nt
Filed under: Homo sapiens (human)
Lineage: Eukaryota; Metazoa; Chordata; Mammalia; Primates; Hominidae
Description: HSALNT0148608
Source: RNAcentral
UCCCCCUCGGGGUGGAAACAAAGGGGGUUCGGCGCGCGGUGCGGAGCCUGGGGGAAAAGGGAGGAGCGCUCCGGUGGUCUGGCGCGCUGGGCUCGCUAGAGUGAAGAUAGUCCAAGUCCUAAGAGACAGCGCCUCUCUCAUUCAGUCUUUGAUUAUACAUCAGCAUCACCAGCUCCCUCACCACCAAUGCGACCAUGGGAGAUGACAUCAAAUAGGCAGCCCCCUUCAGUUCGACCAAGCCAACAUCACUUCUCAGGGGAACGAUGCAACACACCUGCACGCAACAGAAGAAGUCCUCCUGUCAGGCGCCAGAGAGGAAGAAGGGAUCGUCUGUCUCGACAUAAUUCCAUUAGUCAAGAUGAAAACUAUCACCAUCUCCCUUACGCACAGCAGCAAGCAAUAGAGGAGCCUCGAGCCUUCCACCCUCCGAAUGUAUCUCCCCGUCUGCUACAUCCUGCUGCUCAUCCACCCCAGCAGAAUGCAGUCAUGGUUGACAUACAUGA